UGUUUUGUCUAAAAUAUGCAAAAGAACUGCACUAUAAAUACAUAUUACUCAAGGAAAAUUACUUCAGCCGGUGAUUUAUUGAUCUGUUGAAGUGCCUUGAUGAUGCAGCCUCCAACUGCAUCUUAUACGGAGAGACUGAACAUUACAAAAACUUUUUAGAAAUCAUUCUCUCUUUCAUGCCAUACAUUAAGGAGCUUUUCACUCUUCAAAACCUACUGGAAUUGUUUGGUAGAUCAGAACCACAUUAUAUACUUCAGGCAAGCUUUAUCAACUUUCUUUUCGAUACUAUUGGAGAAUUACUUAGUUGUGAAACAUAUUACAGUGUUCUUGUGAGUAAUCAAGUCAAAGUCCUUAGGAAGGAGCUAAAACUUCUGCUCACUUUUUUUGUUGAUGCAAUGCAAUGCAUUAGUGAAAUAACUUC
RNAcentral lists this long non-coding RNA (421 nucleotides) under Olea europaea subsp. europaea. The record is from RNAcentral. Lineage: Eukaryota; Viridiplantae; Streptophyta; Magnoliopsida; Lamiales; Oleaceae.